CUGGAGUAUAAUUUAAUGGUUAUUCAGUUGGACAGAAAUAAUCAGACAAUAGCGCACUAAAAAAAGUUAAUAAAAGUAACAAAUUAAAAAUUUCGAAAUCUUGAUUCCCAGAUUAUAAUUCUAGAAUUUCUAAUACAUUUUGAUAAAUUCCAUUUAAUGUUUGUUUUGUGUUAGGAGCUGUGAUUUGAAAUUCAAAAAUGUUGAGAAGAUUUAUCCCAGUCAUGAAGAAUAAAACACUUUUGUUCAGUUACCUGUUGCCUUCUAGCAUUCGAUCAGUUCAAACGACUACUAAUAGCACUGAUACUUGUUCAAGUACCCGAAUGGUAGACAUUUCUUCACUUACAUCAAAGAAGACUCAUAAAAUUUCAGUAAACAAUUUAGUCAUGAAUUCCCGAAAUAUAAAGGAACCUUUAAAAAAAGUUAGAAAACUUAAUCAUAAACUGUUUUCUCCAGAAAAGCCAACUGAAUGUUGUAAUAAUCAAUGUGAAUGUUGUGUAUGGUUGUUGUAUGUAAAGGAAAUUGUAAUAUUUUAUGAUGGGGACAAAGAUAAAAUUGAAGAAGCUUUAAAUUGCAUUCCGAAUACAGAAACUCAAAACUACGUUAGGGAAAACUAUGAAUCUUUCAUUUAAGCAAAGUAGUUUAUGAAAAACUUGCUCAUUAUUA
Long non-coding RNA from Parasteatoda tepidariorum (common house spider), 663 nucleotides. RefSeq lists it as uncharacterized. NCBI's taxonomy places the organism in Eukaryota, Metazoa, Arthropoda, Arachnida, Araneae, Theridiidae. The record is from RefSeq and is a predicted model, not a curated record.